GAUGAAGAACGUAGCGAAAUGCGAUAAGUAAUGUGAAUUGCAGAAUUCAGUGAAUCAUCGAAUCUUUGAACGCACCUUGCACUCCUUGGUAUUCCGAGGAGUACGCCUGUUCGAGUGUUAUGAAGCUCUCAAAACGCAAUUGGCUUAAAACCUGAUUGUUGUUUUGGAUUUGAACUUUGCCGUGUUAUAACGGCUGGUUUUAAAAGUAUUAGCUGGUACUAGAACGAAUUGGUUCUACUCAACGUGAUAAUUAUCUGAUCAUUGAGGACAUUCCUUUCACGAGGAAUGGCCAUAGUAAAUUCAAUGGACUGCUUCUAAUCUGGCUUUAAUUCUUUAUUGGAUUAACCACUUUUCAAAUCUGACCUCGAAUCAGGUGGGACUACCCGCUGAACUUAAGCAUAUCAAUAAGCGGAGGA
This 416-nucleotide unclassified non-coding RNA is filed under the name soil metagenome. RNAcentral's name for it is "partial contains 5.8S ribosomal RNA, internal transcribed spacer 2, and large subunit ribosomal RNA". The stretch from base 1 to 120 matches the Rfam family "5.8S ribosomal RNA", at positions 35 to 154 of the family's 154-position model. The record is from RNAcentral.